UAGGAAUUUUGCGCAAUGGGCGAAAGCCUGACGCAGCAACGCCGCGUGAGGGAUGAAGGCCUUCGGGUUGUAAACCUCUUUUAGCUGGGAAGAAAAAAAUGACGGUACCAGCAGAAAAAGCACCGGCUAACUCUGUGCCAGCAGCCGCGGUAAUACAGAGGGUGCAAGCGUUAUUCGGAUUUAUUGGGCGUAAAGCGCAUGUAGGUGGUUCGUUAAGUCUGAUGUGAAAUCCCUGGACUCAAUUCAGGAAGUGCAUUGGAUACUGGCGGGCUAGAGUACAGGAGAGGAAGGCGGAAUUCCAGGAGUAGAGGUGAAAUUCGUAGAUAUCUGGAGGAACAACAGUGGCGAAGGCGGCCUUCUGGACUGUAACUGACACUAAGAUGCGAAAGCGUGGGGAGCAAAC
This 403-nucleotide ribosomal RNA is filed under the name uncultured bacterium. Its description in RNAcentral is "bacterial SSU rRNA". It matches the Rfam family "Bacterial small subunit ribosomal RNA", at positions 356 to 773 of the family's 1533-position model. The record is from RNAcentral.